RNAcentral lists this unclassified non-coding RNA (13411 nucleotides) under Leishmania donovani. Its description in RNAcentral is "gene:LdHU3.35.0800(CDS-product:hypothetical_prote in_conserved)". The record is from RNAcentral. Lineage: Eukaryota; Euglenozoa; Kinetoplastea; Trypanosomatida; Trypanosomatidae.
UGUGGGUCCUCCUCAUGCGCUGUUCCAAGUAAAGAUAUAUAUCUACAUAUACACAUCGGCAGCAAGCUGACGGGUGUCUAGCGCACUGCGGCAGCGCCCUGUAUGUAAGUGUCUGUGUGUGUGUGUGUGUCUUGCCUCCCUCCCAUAUUCGGCGCCUUCUCUCCUCUCUGCACCCUUGAUGAAGAAACAGAAAAAAAGGGGAAAGACGACCAACACGCAUAUAUACGAUAACACGGCAAGUAAUCUUAAUAGCAACGAAUAAAACCAGGGAGGCACACGCGACGCAUCAUCAUCGCUGCACCUGGUGAGAGCGAGUGAUCGGGAAUGCCGCCAAAGAAGAAGGGCCACACCCUCGUGGGAAGGCAAAAGGUGUUCCGACAUGCCGUCGAGCAUGUGCGUCUAGGGCUAGGGCACACGGUCCUCGGCAACCUCAGCCUCGGUCUUGCGGUAUCGAGUACCAGCGCUGCGGAAGGCAGCUCGACGGCAGGCCGCCCUGCCUUCUAUGUCGAGCUGAAUGAGCAGCUUCUCUCGCACACCUCGAAGGACUUCAAGAAGUUCCGCUGGGAAGUGCUGGAAUUGUGCGAGACGAACUCGCUCUUUCACCUGCACCACCGGCAGCUUGCGCAGAAACUGCUGGCGUGCUUGAUCGACCGCAGAGAUCACCGCGUCGACGCGACCACUGAUGAGUCGGCAGGCACCAAAGAAGCCACGAAAACCGCGUCGGUACAACGGCAGCACGGGGACGGAUCGACGACGCAGGCGUACGAGGCCUUUGCACGACUGACCAUUGCGUUCGUGCGGGACAUGGGCAGCAAGUUCCUGCCCUACUUUCAGAUCUUUCAGCAGGCAGUGCAGGCUGGCAUUUAUGACCACUAUGGGCACUUGAUCGUUGACACGGCCCGGCUGCAACUGGUGUUCGCCGUGCAGGCAGCGUGGUGUCGCGAGCUGCGUGAGUGCUGGGCCGACCCAGCCCACGCCGCUCUCGUUCGUCGGGUGAUUCGGCAAUACGUUGCGCAGCUGCACGACACAAAGGAGUACGUGCGGCGGCUGUCGGCGGAGCUGCUAGCCUUUUUGUGUCGUCUGAGCCGUCCUCUGCUGCCGCUGGUGGUGGAGGAAGCUUGUGGGGAUGUGUUGCGCAGCUACGAAGAGACCGCAACUGCAGCGGCAGCCGUGGAACGGGACUGGGACGAAACGAGUAGUCGUGGCAGCGUCAGUGAGCGCGAUGGCGAUGGCGACGACAGCGUGGGUGAAGAGGAGAGUGACGGCACUCAGAGCUCUGUUGGAGCUGCGCCAUCCACUUCAAUCUGGGCGAACAGCGUGCAGCUGCUCGAUUUCGUGCGGACGACGUUGCCUCACCAUCCAGUCGUGGAUGGGCUAACCUACUUUAUCGGGGAGCUGUUUCGAGGUGUGCGCGGUUCCCUCAGCUCCUCCUUUGAAACCCACUACGUGCGCCUCUUGCACGCCUUCCAGCUCCUGACGCGGCAAGACGGGAACUGGGACGAGGCGCGCUCGCCCGUUGAUGUGGUGCGGCUCAUGCACCAACUUCGACACCCGCUUGUCCCCUUCCUCGACGCCGUCAGCGAGGAGGACGGAGAUGAUGCGGCAGUGCAACACAAGGAGAUGCGGCGGUAUGCCGACCUUCACUCCACGCGCUGGUCUGUCGCGUUUGGCCUGCCAGAUCACGGCGAGGACGGCGAGGAAGGGGAGGAGGGUGCGACCGUGCUUAGCGGCAGUGACGUGCAGGGGGCCCGACACCUUCUGCGCAGCAUCGGCAGCCUAGCACUAGGAAACGCCACCGCGACAGUGCUGCGGGAAACUAAGAAGCAGUCUGCCUUCCUUCGGCCAGGCUCUUCCGACGAGGACGAGCUCGACGACGGCGCUUCGGCGGAGGCGGCAAAGGGAGACGGUGCCGUCUCCGCCGUGAAGAACGCCACCAUGCGCCCCAGUCACCGCAUCCUCGCGGCGGCCGUGCUCAGCCUUGGCUCGGCCUACCUGUCGCCGUCUUGGCCACACUACAUUGAUUUCCUUACGGCCAUGAUGGGGUCGGUGAACUUCGCGUUGUGGGUUGACAGUCGUGAGUCAGCGCUACUGCAGCGCCUCGCGGCGCAGCUGCUCGCGGCGCUUCGCCACCCACCUUCCAGUGCCUCCUUGGACACGGACGAUGCAAGGGCGCACGCUGCAGUGGAUGCGACAACUCUGCUCGAAGUGGCGGCCGCCAUUCUCCGUCUCCUCUCCCCGCUCUGUCUAUCUCCCUGCCUUGGUUCCAGCGCGGGCGCCGGUGCGGAUGUAUCUUCGCAUCUCCUACAGCUGCAGCAGUGGUUUGUGCCAGUUGCCAAGGCAGCGGUGCAGGUGUGCGUCAAGGCGGCCACGAAGGCGCUGCCGCACGUCGCGCGGUGUCACCGCUGUGAACAGGCGCAGCAGAUCCUCUUCGCUUUCGCACAAGAUGUGCUGCAGAAGAACUACGCUUUCGCCCUCGAGCAAGAGCGCCGCAUGGCUGAGGAGGCCGACGCGCGUGAUCUCGUGGGAGGGGAAGGUGGUGCACAUCGUGUUGGCAGCACCGCUGGCCUGCACGACACCCGCGAAGACGCCUGCAUGUCGGAGGAUGAUGACGGCGCCGAUGGGAAAGAAGCGGGGGGCGCCUACGCCGCGAAGCGUGCGCAGCGUCGCAGCGAGCACCUGCGCAUCCCGUCCUACCUUACCCCCUUUGCUCUCACCCUACUGCACACGAUCGGGAUGGCCCUCUGGCAGGGCGCCACAGUCGACGUGCGCGAACUGCGUAGUGCAGCCACGCAUACGGCCGCGUUGUCGACCUCGCUCGAUGAUGCUAUGAUCACCGCGCUGCGCCAGUCAAGCGUGCGGCGUGCGGUGCUGCUGAGCCGACUCCUGCAGGACCACACACAGCACAUGGUAGUGAGCCCGCUGCAACAGCUGCUGCGCCUCAAGUCGAUGCCGUCCACCGCAGCCAAGUGGAACAACACCAAAGGAAACAGCGCAGUUGCAGCAACAAACAGAGAAGUGUCGAUGCGCGACGUGCUCGAGUCCAUGACACUGGAACUCCUGCAGUACUACAAGGCAACGCAGGGCUCAGCGCCGUCCUCGACUGCGUCGGAGGCAAUGGCCUACGUCUCUUGUGCCUUGCCGCUCAUCCAGCUGCUGGUAUCAAACGCAGUGGCGGCAACGCCGUCGUCGACCUCUCCCGUGAAGGCGGCUCUCCUGAGCCUCUUGCAGAGUAUCGAGGAGCAAGACCAGGAAGGUGCAAAGUCGUCUCGACCGGCAGUGAGGACGGCCGCGGCGGCGUCGUCGUCGGUUCGCACCACCGCGCUGGACCCAGCCGUCUAUGCCUUGUACGCGGAGGUGGCGGCCAUGCUGGUGCACCUGACCACUAGGCCUUCCGCACGCAGUGGCACGAAGCUGUUGAAGAAGAAGUCACUGAAGAGUCAGCACGCGGCCGAUAACGGUGUGCACGACGGCAGCGCUACACGCGACGAUGAGCAGGAGGGCCUGCGUCACCUUUGCCGCACCGUGGCGGUUCUGGUGCAUGGCUUCCAGCAGCUUCGCGCGGCCACCUCGCCUCGUGAAACUUCGGGAAGCAGCAGCACCAACAACCCCGUCGACGAAGACACGGAGCUCGCUGCAGCCUCGACCGCCUUGUCGGAUCAGACGCGCGUUCAGCUCCUGCACGGCGCAGAGGUGUUGCUGCACGCUCUGCUCUGGAUGUUCAGUCUCGACUCGAACAGUCAGCUCUACGGGGAUGACUCUGGAACGGGGGUCGCUGCGUUCGCGCAGAUGCGUGGCAUGCCCGCUCUUGCAGCGGAGGCGCUCCCUGCGCACACACGAGCAGCACUGCGCUCCCUGCGUGCGGCACUGCCGAGUGUCCUUCACAGAGCUUUUGUGCAGGAUGUGCUCCUCGAGUGUCUCGCCGCCCCGAUUGCCGGCCUUCGCCUACUGGCGCUGCGGCUGCUGCGCCUAGUGUGUCAUCCAUCUCUGGACAUGGCAGACCGUCUCGUCGGUGCCCCAGCGGUGCCGCUUGACCUGAUUGAUGCGCUGCUCAGUGCCGCGCGCUUCAACCCGCUCUCGCACACCGGCAAGCUCGACGGCAUGCAGCAGGAGCUAUCACUGCUGACGUACCAAGUGGAGUCUGGCGCCAUCACACAGCCCUUCCAUCGUCAACUCAUUGCGCGCACAAUGAUUGGUUUUCUCUACAUGAAGUUCACCGGCGCGUGGGAGAUCGCGUCGAAGGUGCUAUGCAGCUUGGUGGCGCAGGAGCAAACGGGCCUGAUGAGCGUCAAGGACAUCGACGACAACGACGACGACGACGGCCGCAACACUGAGGCGGGGCUGGAUGAGCAAGGAGACGAAGAGACCCGAAAAGGUGGCAGUAGUAGCACAAGCCUCGCCACGCCGGCGCAGCACCACAAGCCGCAGCGUCUCCGGCGGCUGGAGCCGGUGGUGUGGAACUCCGUCGUGUGCGUUCACGCUAGAGCACUGGUCAUGGGUGACGUAGUCGCCGCCGGUGAUGCGACCUCAUCGGCGGAGAAGGUGCACCUGCGUGGUGAUGAGCACGCGGUCACUGGCAAUGCGGAUGAUGCAGCGGCCGCCACCGCAUCGUGUCAGGCGCAGCUGGCCCAGCUGCCGUGCCUCUACGGUAUCCACCUCACCGACCAGCAGCGCCACGUCAAGGGUGAGCUCGUGAGCCGCGUCUUCUCCAGCACGCAGUACAGCACUGCGGCGAUGACUCUGCUGAACAGCACCAAGGCAGAUUACGAGGUAGUGCGGUGGGAUCAGCAUUGGAUGCUGUCGCAGUGUUGCAUGAGCAACUCCGUCGACGCAGCGAAGGCGGCGACCAGCCGCAAGCAGCAGCAGGGCACCAGCGUCACCACGGCCGCCCUGUACGCCACCUCCACCGACCGCUCCACUCUUGCCCAGACGUUCCUUUCCAUAAUGGAGGCGAUGGUGAAGUCGAGCUCCGCAAUCGAUCGCAAGGUGCGCCUCGUGGAGGAUGUCGUGCUCGAACUUGUCGCGGUGGAGCGCAACCGCCAUCCAAGCGGCGUCGACGGCUCGCAGCUGCGCAAGUUCGACCAGCGACUGGAGGUCGCGAUGCGGGCAUGCGCCGCCGCGCCGAGUGGGGUGCUGACCGCCCAUCAGCGCAGGCAUGUAACGGCGGCCGUGCAGCGUGACAUUGAUGCCCGAAAUGCGGAGCUGCAGGGCAUAUACGUAUCGUACCUCUCCGAGGUGAACCCGCGGCUGCAGCGCGUCGCCGUGGACAACCUCAAGCGCCUGCGCGUGGAGCCGUUCUACACGUAUCACGCUAAGCUCGUCCCGUACUGUGACAGCAUGAAGAACCUCUUCGCCUUCCUCAGCGCCUUCCACGUCGAGAGCGACGUGCCGGCGCACGACGUUGUCGCGUACGUCUCGGCGGCUCUGUCCCUCGCGUUGCCGAAGCUACUGGCAGCGGUGUCCAAGAAGAAACUGAAGGAGCAGGCAGUGCUGAGCCGGCGGCUGAUGAGCUACCUCGAUCAUCUUACCCCAUCGGCGGCGGUGAGCAACAACAGCAGCAGUAGCGUCAGCCCCGGCGCUACAGCAAAGGACCCUCUCGCAGAGGUGUUUGACCAGCUGCUGCAUCGCCUCUUGUCCUUCGCCAUGCCGGCUUCCACGACGCUGGCGUCCGUGGCUGCUGACGGCGCGAGCGCAUACGACUUUCUCGCCAACGUGUGGGAGGACAUUGUGUACAGGGGGUGUGGCAUGUCGCUGGCGAAGGAGGCAGGUGGCGCCAGUGACUGUGCCGGGGGCACGGCCACUAUCUCGGAGCCGCGCCGGCGCUCCAGCCAUCACGGUAUUCGACGCCUUGAGCGCUUCCUGAAGCAGCUUAGCAGAGCGCUGCGGCUCCUGGAGGCGAUGCUGCACGCUGUGGGGCAGCGCUUCUCCGUCUACGUGUCAACAUGCCUGCACGUGGCCCUCCAAGCCUACCUUGUAGCGUGCAAGCAGUCGCUGCGUGCACCGGUGGACAACCUGCUCGCGAGCCUCACCAGCCACGAAGCGACGCCGCAGGAGGAGCGAGCGCGGCGGUGGGCUGCGCUGCUGAACAAGUCACUGGCCACCAGCGCUCUCUCCACGUCUUUGGCCCACGUCCGCCGCGCCGCAAUGACGAUUGUGGCGCUGCUGUUCGAGCAAUUCCCUGAGGACGUCAUGGAUGUGCUGCGUGGCAGGAGUGACGCGAGCGUCCGCGGGAGUAGCAGCGCAGUGGGCCAUGCCGCCACCACGACAGCACUCCCCCUCUUCACGCGCUAUCUCACCAUGCUGUUUGAGAACUCGAAAGGUACCACGGUGGACGGUGGCAGAGGCGCGCUUGUCAGCCGCGCCGGGCGGGGCGCGGUGGCAGUGGCGGCAAAGAGCUCUGUUACCCCGGUGCUGCGCCUCUUGACGGCGUGGGUCCGCAGCCCAGCUCUUCUUCCGCUCUUUUCUGCCUACCCUGACGUUGCCGUCGGGACGCUGGAGGAGGUGUUCGCCGUGAACCACAAUGCGGCCUCGGUGCACCGUGCCUCGACGCAGGCUCUCAACGAAGGUCUCCGCUGUGUCUCAGAGCUGCUGAGCUGCGCAGAGGAGCCGGUGCACGAGCUCCCCGGUAUACCUGCGGCUGUUGCGGACAAGAAGGGCGGAGUGUACAGCAGUCGUCUGCCGGUGAGAACGAUGUUUCGGCACUCCUUCCUGGAGAAGCACAUUGUGCGCGUCUUUACCUCCCUCUACACCCUCCUCACUUCGGGCGCCGCGCGAGAGGAAAAGGAAGCCGCGGCGGCAGCGAUGACAACAGCAACCGCGGCAGCGUCAAGAGGGUCGGGGGAGGCAGUGGCUGCCCGCGCAGAGCGGCGAAAGCCGUCACGCAGCAGCAAGCCGACCCGCACGGCCUCGCCAAAGGGCCGCCAAAGUGCGCGUGACCGGGAAAGGCCAACGUCCAUCAUGUCCCUCAGUGUGUCCAUGUGGCGAGAGGUGAUGCGCACCAUUGCGCAGCUGUCGCGAUUCCUGCAUGUCGGCUCGGCGACGUCGGCGUCGGCGUCGGCGUCCUCGCUGGCGAGCAUGCUGAACCGCCUGCUCGAGCUUGCACUGAAGAUGGUCGCCCACCCCGUGUGCAUGACGGACGCGCCCACAACGCAAAUGGUGACAGGCAUCGCCCAGGCGUUGAUGGAGCAGGUGGCGGAGGUCGACUACCGAGCGCACUGGCAGCCGUUGGUGCGGCUCUUCAACUUGGUCGUCAAUCCACACGCCCGGCACACCCUCUGCGCCACACUGUCGUUGGCGGUGGCAAAGCUCGCACUGCCAACCUCGUCGCCGUCGGCCGACUCGCCACGGAUGGAGUGGUUCCGCCGCCAGCUCGCCGCGGCGGCGCGUGCGGUCGCCUGCCUGAAUAGUUUUGAGAACGACGAGACGUUUGAGCGGUACGAUUUCGAGCUGCGCUACCACACCCUGCACUCUCUUCAUGAUUUCUUCGUUUACUUCGGCAACUACGGCGCUCUUCACCGCGGUUGUACUGCCGACAGCAACGUCAAAGGCGGAAGCGGCACCAGCUCGGUGCGGAAGGUGCGGGCGUACGACGGUGCCGAGGACGUGCAGCUGCCUCUCGACAAGGAGUACGCACCGGUACUUGCGACCGAAGCAAUGGCGGUUCUGGCCGCGAACGUCGUCUUCUUCCUGCGAGACCCCGAGCAGACAAUCCGCGCGCUCGUGCUGCCUUUACUGCACUCGAUGGUGCGCUACGCCUCCCUGGGAGGUCAGCGCAGCAGCGGCAAUGCAGGACUCACGGAACAGCAGCUGGCGUACAGGACACAGCUGCUCGAGACUACGCUACGCCACGAGGUUCUCGCCUCCCUGCGGCGCGGCGUCGUGGCCAAGGAUGUUCACAUUCGCUGUGCGCACAUGCAGGCCUUUGAGGGCUUCGGGCGCCACUUCAGCGCUGAGUUCCCGAGCUUCGCUCUGCUGUACUCCCCCAACACGGAGCAGAACUUCUACGCAAACGUCGGCCACGUCCAGCAUAGGUGCCGCCUACAUGCCCUGGCGGUGCUGCGGCAGCACGCCCCAGAUAUGAACGUGCGUGACGUGUUGCGCGUCUUUGUGCCGUUUCUGCUGAGCGCUGUGAAGGACUUUGCGGAGGGCAAGCGCAGCCAGGCCAACCUGACGGAGGGUCGUGCGCGUGGCUACUGCGACGCCGUGCUGCUCACAGUGAGCUCCAUUGCGGCGCGUCUGCCGUGGAUGGCGUACUACCGCGUGCUGUCGCUCUUCCUCUCGAACGCGAAUGCGAAUGCCAACCUGCGAGCGACGAUGCUGCGCGGCGUGGUUCAGGUGCUCAGCACCUUCCAUUUUCUGGACGACCCUGCUGAGGCCAGCGCCGAAGGUGCGGCGGCCCACGUGGGCGAUGAUGGGGAAGCGGAGGAAGACGAGGUCAACGACGUGGACGAUGCGGUGCGCGCCGAGCUGUCCGCGAAGCAGCGUGAGUACCGUCACGCGAAGGUAAUGCGGGUGCUCGAGGUCGACGUGCUGCCGCAGCUGUACAGCUACUUGGGUGACAAGGAAGCGAGCAAGGCAAUCAGUGGCCGCGGCGCCGUUAACCAGCACAGCAUUACUGCUGUGCGUCAGGAGCAGGAGCGCGAAGACGCGGCGUCGGCGCAGGCGAAAAAUGCGCUGCUGCAGCUGCCAGUGGCGAUGGCGAUCACAAAGAUUGUAAAGCACUUCCCAGAGGACCGCUUCCACGUGCACGUCGACCACCUGCUCGACGAGCUCAUCAAGAAGCUGCGCACAAAGAAUGACAAGCGUCGGGAGAGCGCGCGCCGAAUCCUUGGUGCGAUGCUGCAGGAGACGGGACCGUCCAAGCUGAAGUUCGUGGUGGCAAAGCUGAAGGACAAUCUCGUUCACGGCUACCAGCUCCACGUGCUCGGCUACACACUCGUGACGCUCCUGCACCAGCUCUAUGAGCCGAACAGCAAGCUCCUGCAACCAUCCAGGUCCUCCUCGUCCGCUGCAGUGGCCGCCGCCUCCCACUCGCCCGCGCGUAGUGCUCCUCAAGAUCCGGUGCAGGAGGCUCUGGAGGGGGCGAAGAAACAGCACCGGCGCAACAGUCCGUCAUCGCCUCCGUCGCGCCGGCAGCGCACAGAGAAGGCCGCAGACAAGGAUGGCAAGAGCGGAACAGAUGUGCCACCGGCCGAGCAGGUAGACGAGGACACCGCUGUCGAGCGCGCGGAGGAAGCACUACUGCAAGAGCUCGGCACCGCCACGCACGCCAGGUUCGACUACCGGCACGGCAUUGACUGCCUCACAGAGGUGUUGGAGGACCUGCUGCUCAUCUUCCUGGACGACUACCUUGGCGAGGUAGGUGUGCAAAAAGAGCAGGUGGAGGUGAUGAGCACCAUGGUCGAAGUGAAACGCAACCGGGCGUUACAGGGCUUCGCCUUUCUCGGCAAGCACUGCGACGCCGAGACAGUGAUGCAGGCGUUCCUUCACCGCAUCACGUGGGUGCUCACACCGCCAUCCGAAACCGCCAUGAGCGCGGGGGAGCUGCAUGGCAGUGCCAGAGCCCGCGCAUUGCUGGUGCAGGAGAUGAAGAGCAAGUAUCUGACCAUCAGCAAGGGCGGGAGUGCGGAUCUGAUUUUCGUGAACAAGGUGCGUCUGCUCGCCGUGCGCGUCGCACGCUCUAUCAUGGCGAACCCGACCAUGUCAGUCGAGAAGUCGUUUGAGCAGGUGCGCCGCCUGCUCGACCAGCACAAUCGCACGCGAGAGGAGAAGAUCGUCGCGUUCGAGGCAAAGAAUGGCACGCGGCGCAUCCGCGGCAACGCGCACGUCAUCCUGCACACGGCAGAACGCCAGAGCCGCAAGGAGCAGCUGGAUCAGAACUACCUCGUCGCCCCGGUGCCGGAGCGCGUCGACGUCGACUUCAGUGCGCACACCAUCCUGGCCACGCAGCAGAAGCAGAAGCUGCGGGUGUACCGCGGUCGGUACGGGAAGGAGCUGAUGGAGGCGGCGAAGAACUUCUACCGCGAGGACCCGGUCACGGCCGUUGUGCUCGAUACCCUCGACGAGUUCCUCUUAAAGUUUCUGCUCAGCGUGCUGAAGCAAGUGUUAGGGAUCGGCAAGGAAAAGCGUUACUCAAAGGCGGCCAUGAAGCUGGACAUGCUGCGCCACCACCGUGCGCGGCAGCAGGAGCGGGAGGCAGAUGGGGAGGACAGUGCCACGUCAGGCGAUGACGAUGGUGUCCAAGACGAGGAGGGCCACGUCGAUGAAGCGCAGGAGGCUCACACAGAGCGCGGAUCGGAGGAGGAUGAGGAAGAAGAGGGCGGCGCAGCGGGCACCGACGCCGUCGAGAAUGGCGAGAACGUGGACGGGCUGGGGGCGUUUGCGGAGACGCAAGCAGUGGCAGAAGGGGACGCGAAGAAUGCUACCCGUCAGGCGCGGGGCGAGGCGCAGCUGGCCGCGGCCCUCCUAGCCCCUGGAAGCGAUCUCACAGUCACCUUCACGCGCGAGCAUCGUGGCCUGCUCGAGUCGCUCGUCCCUGCCGUUCUGACGUGCCUGCAGGGCGAAGGCAGCGACGCGGUCGUCGCGAACGCGCUCGAUUGCCUGCUCGCACUUGUCUCCCUGCGACCACCGCUCGACGCUGUCAACGGACUGCAGAAGGAGCUCUUCGAGACCGUGACCAGCUUCAUUGAGCGCGGCUCCGUUAUCAAACAGCGAGCCAUCCGCCUCACGGCGGCCAUGGUAGCUCACCAAAAGUACGUCGUCUCGGAGUCCAACGCAGUACAACUCGUGAAGCUCGUCCGUGCCGAGUUGAUGGAGCGGAACGAGUACAUGUCUGUUUGCCUUAGUCUCCUCUACGCCGUCCUCGGCAAGCACGUGCACAUCGCUGAAAUAUACGACUUGAUGGACAUCAUCACAGAGCUGCUGCUGCACUGGAGCGCGCACCGCGUCAUUCGGCGCCGUUGCAUCCUCAUCCUUGUCCGCUUCCUCCUAGAGUACCGCCUGACGCCAGAGAAGUUCAAGUCUCACAUCGACCUCUACUGUCGCAACCUCGACUACCCGGAGCUGACGGGGCGCACGGCGCUGCUGGAGCUGCUCGACGCGCUCAUUCUGCGACUGCCCGCCGUUAUCCUGCGCGAGGAGGCGCCGGUGCUGCUGGUGCCGCUAGCAGCGACGGUGACGGGCAGUGAAUGGGUCGAGUGUCGCCGGCAGGGCGGCACCGUUCUCCAGCACCUGGCCCGCUGCGCCGGCGUCGAUGUGCUGGUCCCUAUCCUGUCGUCGUGGAUGGCCGCCGCGCAGCCGCGGGCGACGCGCAGCAUGGGUGUGCAAACGUGGGCCGCCAUUGUCCCUGCCCUGGCUGAGUUCUACGAGCUCGGCGCCGACCAGAAGGGCGAGGACGACGACGGCGACGAGGACGCAGCAGCAGCCAAGGCGCAGAACCGUGCUGCCUUCCAGGCCUGUUGCGCAUGGUCAGUCGAAGCUGUGCUUGAUGGAUGUAUGUUCGAUCAACUGGCUGCCGCGCGCCGCAACAAGCAGCUGCAUCAGCUAUCCGCGAAGUCGCGUGAAAAGGUGGAGACGGAAGGGUGGGCGUACAUCUUCUAUAGUCUGCGCGCCGCCGAGACGAUGCUGACGGCGCUGCCGCACGAGCUGUAUCCGCUUCUGGCGCCACGCCUUCUGCCCCACAUUACGGAAGUGCUCAUUCUGCACACCCAUCCGUGGGUGCGUGCGGUGGCGAUGCGGGUGUUGCGACACUACCUCUACACCUACGUCGAACGCCACUGCUACUACCUGCAAGAGGACGCGUGGCAGGAGUCGGCAUGCGGGCAGGCAGACAGUGGCACAACCGAUGGCGACACCACGGCGAGCAAAGGCGACGGCGACGUAGCCGCUCUCCUAUUCGUCACGGAGGCGACAAGCGUGCCCUCAAAGGCGGCCGUCGCACAAGCCUUGCAGACCCUGCAAGCCUUCUCCAGCCUCCUGAAGCGUCUCCUAGGUAUCGUGAGCACAUCCGAUGUGGCGAUGGAGGUGUACAACGCCCACCGCGCGAUUGCCAACCCCGUUCGAAGCGAGCUGCUCAAGGUUGCCAUCUACGUGCUGCGAGCCCAGGUCCAACUGGCGCUCUUCGCUCUGACACGCGCCGCCACGACCGGCCGGCACCGCUACCAUCGAGAUGUUCAGCAGCGUGUGCGCACCGUGUACACAUCGCUGCAGCAUCAGCUCUUCUCUCUCACCUCUCCAGUCGUGCAGCAGGAAAGCCUUGUGAACUACAUGGUACGCAGCACCACGCUACUGCAGCUGUUUGGUGGCUGGGCGUCGGUGCUGCCGCGCGAGGUAGCGACCAAUGUCAGUGACGGCGCGGAGCCGAACCUAGCAUACAGCGUUCACAACGCACAGGUGCGGUGGCUGGCGCAGACCCAACUCUGCCCAGCGACGCUGCUACGCGAGUGUGUGGUGCCGUUGCUCGGGCUAGGACUGCGGGCGAAGCCGAUCUCCGAGAAGAUCUCGCUCAUUGCCUUUCAGGUGGCGGGGGUUGUGGUGCAACAGCUGGAGGAGCGCCGCCAAGAGCUGGCCACGCCGGUUCGAGCGAACGCAUCGACGGCGAAGAAAGACGAUGAAGCACCGCUAGGGAAGAAGCGCUCACGCUCUGCGGCGGCGGUGGCCGCAGCUAACGACGGCGACGAAGCGGAUGCGGCUGCUGGUCGUGUGCCUUUGGAUGAGGUGCUCGUGACACUCAAGACACAGCUUGCCAGCAUCCACGAGGCUCGCCGCGAUCAGCAAGUGACGCAGAACACAAAGAAGGCGCUGAAGCGCAGCCAUCGCCAGAUGGAGCGGGAGGAACGCAAGCAGAUGCAGCAGUCCCGCCGCAGCGCUUAGUGCCUCCUCCACAAGCGAAAAGAGGGUAAAGUGACGCACGUAUUGGUGCAUCAACGCAUCCAGUGCUGCUCUUCGUGCUUGUUGGCGACAGCGCUUCGCCGACGGACGUGCUCCCUCACGGCUUCGCGCCUCCCUCGCUCUCCCUACUAGCGCACCAGCAAGCAAGCAAGCAAGCAGGAAAGGGUAGUGCGCGCAAACAGGCCUGCGUGCAGAGAGGGAGGAAGGGGUCGGGUUCAGGAAGUGCAUGUUGUGGAACGCGUGCCUCCACCAGACCAUCCCGCGGCGUUUUCACGUCCAGCGCCAUCGCUGUGUCUCCCUUGCUUUGUUUUUCCCCCUCCGGUUUGGGUGUAUGAAUUUGUGUCCGUGCUGCUUCGCCUUUUUUGGUGGUGUUGGAGAGCUGGAAUGGGCUCGGUGCGGACUCGAAGAAUGGCAAGUGCCCUCCCCCUCUGUCUCUCUCGUGUAUGUUUAACAUCUAAUCGCGUAAUGCACAUUAAGAAGGCGCGUUUGGCUGCACGGCGGGUGCGCUCCUCGGCUCACAACCGAC